Long non-coding RNA from Zingiber officinale, 782 nucleotides. RefSeq lists it as uncharacterized. Lineage: Eukaryota; Viridiplantae; Streptophyta; Magnoliopsida; Zingiberales; Zingiberaceae. The transcript has 3 exons. The record is from RefSeq and is a predicted model, not a curated record.
UCCCAAACCCGAGCUUUCUCCUCUCUUCCCCGAUCUCCCCUCUUCCUUCUAUGUUCUCUCUCUCGCGGACGAAUCGGAGGCGACGGGAGCGGAGCUUCUCCGUUGGCGAUCAUCCUCGUUCGUCGGAGCUUGCUGGAGCACGGCGGAGCCUAGAUCUUCUUCGGCCGAGGGGUUUUGUCCCGUGAGUUCUGCGGCUAAGCGUCAACGGCGAGGUGGCUAGGGCACGGUGAGGAGCAAGAUUCGUCGCCUCCCAACCGAUCGACCUCCGUUCUUCUCUCCUCGCACUACUCAUAGUGCGAUCCAUCUCUUCCUUGGCCGGAUCUGGAUCGAGCCGUGCCACCCGAUCACCGGCGUGGAAGGGGCGAUUAGGGCUUCAAUGGGUUUCGGUUGAUGACGAUGGGAUCCAUUGAGUUGUUGGGCAGAGGCUUGAAGGGUUGAUUGAUGUCUUGGAUUGCUUGAUUUGAGAUCAGUGAUCUGCUUGUUGAUUCUUCCUUCUUGAUCCGAGUGAUCCAGCAGUAAGGCCCUGUUCUGUGGAAGACUUCCUGGUUCCAGCAAUCAACAGCAGCUCAGUUAAGGACUUUUGGCUUGAUGCAUUGUUGAUCCAGUGAGGUUCUGUUGCUGUGAGGCUGGGAUUGUGAUCUUUGAGGUGUAUCCAGCAGCUUUCCCUAACCGGCAGCAACACCUUUGAUUGUGAUCUAUUGGUGAUCACUUUGGAUUUGAGGAUUCUGAUUCGAGACAAGCAUCUCGACGUUGACUUCGGAUUUGGGAUUGUAACUUCUAUU